Non-coding RNA from Maylandia zebra (zebra mbuna), 1380 nucleotides. The record is from RefSeq and is a predicted model, not a curated record. NCBI's taxonomy places the organism in Eukaryota, Metazoa, Chordata, Actinopteri, Cichliformes, Cichlidae.
AGUCAGGCUGCAUCAGCUGAAGCUGUUAUUUGUAUAUAUCAGUAUUUUUUAUUCAGGUGUGGGGAAAAUACGUAAGACUGCAGUGAAGCGAUGCACCAGAUUAAUCCCUGGCCAAAGAACAGUUCUCCACAGUCGCUGUCCACAUGGGUCAGUGGGACCAAGAAGCACUCUGCUAAUGUGGGACUCUGACCAGCAACAUCCAGCAAGACCCAGACAGCGUUUUCUAUCUCCCAGCUGGAGUUUUUUGUUUGUCUGUGACUGGAGAGUCAGAUUUUUGUUGAGCUUCACACUUGCAGAGGUAAGUCAGUUUGCAGAGAUCCCUCCCACCCUGGCUUUUAUGUGCUAGAUUUCUUAUCUGAAACGGUAAUAUUUCAGUGACUGCUGCUUCUACACUCUACUGAUCCCUGAUGGGAGAAUCAUCAAUUUUGGCAACAAAGAAGCCUGGUGGAUGUUUGUUUACAGUCUGAUGAUGGGACAUCAUGCUCUGCAUCUUCAAAGUUUGCCUCCUCAUUAUUAUUCAUACCCAGUAAUGUGAAGUAUGCUCAUAUCUACUAUAACUGAACCAACCUGGUGCUCUUCAUUUAUGGAGGCUGUUGAGUCUGAAUGUUGGAUGUUGUGUAUCUCGUGUUCUCUGGGCUUUGUUGUCCUCAGUCUUUUUGCAGGAUCAGAAAACAAAACCAGGAGGCGCGUAAAUGUUUCUUUUCCAUGAUGUUUCUUCAAAUGUUUCUUCUGGAUGAUGAUAAGACUGUGACACAGGAUGCCACCUUUGGUCUUGUGAUGAAGCAAAGCUCAGGAAGAAGUGUGAUUAAAUGGUACCCACAUGUGUGCUGCUGAGAAGGAUGUACAGGGGCACCUGCAGCCAAAUCCAAGCUUCAGAGCAGCAGUUUGUGCUCACAGAUGGUGACGGUGUGGAGAGACGGUGGUGUUUCCUCAGAAGAACCAGCAGAGUCACUCGCUGACUGAUGCUCGUCUGCACUGCACAGAGGAAAUCAACUGACCGAGGAAUGGAGAAAUGGAAUCAAAGGGAGAUGUUUUUGCUGUUUUUGUAAUGAUAUGGGCAGCAUAUCAGUCUUGGACUGUCUAACCUGCCGGAGCAGCACUGAAUGACCACCACACAUGAGCAUGUUCCUGCAACAUUCAGCAUCUGAUCCUUCAUCUGUGUGCUGCUGCUUUUGUGUCACAUGUCAAACAGCUGGAGAGGAAACUACACCAGUGUACUGGGAUGUUUCACCAACACGUGCCAGAUGCUGUUCCUUCAUGGUGACAUCACCAGAGACAGCCCCACCCACCUCAGGACCUCGCCAUUGAUCAUGAUGAUUAUAAUGAUGACAGCGAGCGGAACUAAGACUGUAAAAAUCCACGACCAGAAUUUUUCUUUCU